Long non-coding RNA from Salvelinus sp. IW2-2015, 367 nucleotides. RefSeq lists it as uncharacterized. The record is from RefSeq and is a predicted model, not a curated record. Lineage: Eukaryota; Metazoa; Chordata; Actinopteri; Salmoniformes; Salmonidae.
CUGGCUCAGGUGUUUGACUGGAGUUACUUCACCAGGAAGAUCAAUGGGGACUGUCGGCAUCACUGUGCCUGAACAGAGAGUGUCAUCAACUACGCACCUAACUACUACAGACGACUCAACCUAUCCUAGCCAAGAACACUAAGAGAGACCUGCAGAACUACAUUGUGUGGCGUUUCGUCAUGAACAUGGUGGUGGGUCUGAGCAGGCAGUACAGGGACACCAGGAAAGCCUUCCGCAAGGCGCUGUACGGUACCACGUCGGAGGCGGCGGUGUGGCGGCAGUGUGUCAUCUACGUCAACAACAAUAUGGACAACGCUGUCGGAAGACUGUACGUAGAGGAGGCCUUUUCUGGGGAGAGCAAAGCACU